GAUGAAGAACGCAGCGAAAUGCGAUAAGUAAUGUGAAUUGCAGAAUUCAGUGAAUCAUCGAAUCUUUGAACGCACCUUGCGCUCCUUGGUAUUCCGAGGAGCAUGCCUGUUUGAGUGUCAUUAAUAUAUCAACCUCUUCAGCUUAUGCUUGUUGAGUGUUGGAUGGUGGGGGUUUGCUGGUGUCUUAUGAAGUCAGCUCCUCUGAAAUGCAUUGGCGGAACAAUUUGUUGACCGUUCAUUGGUGUGAUAAAAAUAUCUACGCUAUUGACGUCAGUCAGUUCAGCUUCUAACAGUCCAUUGACUUGGACAAAUUUUUCAUUAAUGUGACCUCAAAUCAGGUAGGACUACCCGCUGAACUUAAGCAUAUCAAUAAGCGGAGGA
This 381-nucleotide unclassified non-coding RNA is filed under the name soil metagenome. RNAcentral describes it as "partial contains 5.8S ribosomal RNA, internal transcribed spacer 2, and large subunit ribosomal RNA". The stretch from base 1 to 120 matches the Rfam family "5.8S ribosomal RNA", at positions 35 to 154 of the family's 154-position model. The record is from RNAcentral.